Beta vulgaris subsp. vulgaris (sugar beet) is the source of this 2778-nucleotide RNA transcript. RefSeq lists it as uncharacterized. The record is from RefSeq and is a predicted model, not a curated record. The transcript has 9 exons. NCBI's taxonomy places the organism in Eukaryota, Viridiplantae, Streptophyta, Magnoliopsida, Caryophyllales, Amaranthaceae.
UACUUCCCUCAAUUGUACAUUUGUACUCUCUCAAUAGAACCCUCACUCGCACCGUUCCUCCUUCCGCCGAUCCUUCGCACCUUCGUCCUUCGCUUCCGCCGUCCCUCCCUCCGUCGUCCCUCCCUCCGUCGUCCCUCGCUCUCUCAGUCAUCCUCUCUCUGUCAACCUCGCAAUUGGUUCACUCACGCUAUGGAACUCGCUGCGUGAAAGUUACUCCAUCGAUGAAUACUUUCUGCUCUCAUUGUUCUACCAACAUGCUAUCUUAGGGAUCUUAGGUAAUUCUAGUGCUCAUAAACCCAACCAUGCUUACAUAAACCCACCUACUCGAUUCUGCUGCAAAAUCGAACGUUCUUCUGCUUUCUUUCUGAGGUGGUUUUUUUCGCUCUUCAAUUUUAUUUCCUUCAAAUAUAUUCGAUUUUCAUUGUUCAUAUUUCAGUUUUAUGUAUUUAUCCAUUACAAAUUUCAACAAUUUCUGGGUUUUUCAAUUGGAACAUCUUAAAUGCAUGUAACUGAAAAAGAUUGAAUCUUUUGUUGCGAUUGAUAAAGAUUAAGUACUGGGUAAUUGGUAUAUUAGUUAGACAAUAAUUUGUUGCAAAAUUAGGUUUAGUUUUUUUGUCUUGAAUUUGAAAUAUGUAUGAAAUUAAGCGCAGCCCUUAAGAUCGCCUUCCAAAUUACAACAAUGGAAGCGUGUCGAGUCAUAGCUGCGCAAAAUUGAAUCAUUUUUUUGGGGUUUUCUCACUAGGGUAUUCCUUUUGAGAUUAUUCCCUUUUUAUCGUCACCUAAAUUUCUCAUUCAUUUUCUCUAUAUAAUUUGGAUUGAUAUACAUCCUCCAAAUUUGCUGAAAUUGCUUAGCAUAUUUCAGUUCAUAAUGUUUGUGUUUAUGUUUUUUUCAGCAAAUGGGUGCUUGACAUUCAAAUGAGGAGCUAUUAAUGCUUGCAUUUAUGUGGGGAAACAUAUUAAAAAAUGAGGAGAAAAGGAUAAAUUCCUCGUACAUCAUCAGUGUCGCGAGGAAACUUGGAUGUUCUAUUUUUUUUGCUUCCUGAAGACAUCACUGAGAUUCAUGGCUCCAAGCUGUUACCGGCGAUGGUAACUACUGAAGUCGACCUUUUUACCGACGAUGGUAACCUUUAUCGUUCUGCUGUUCCUAGUGGUGCUUCUACUGGGAUCUAUGAAGCUCUUGAACUUCAUGAUGGUGAUAAGUCUGUUUAUGAUCAUAUUUUUGAAUCAAGAGUAUGUAAAUAAUUGCAUCAUGUUGACUGUUGAGCCGCUUGACAGUGAAAUAAAUUAUCUUUGGGUGUUUAUAAGAAAAUAUAUAUAAGUACAACAUAGUUGUUGGAAUUUUUUGGGCUGUGGGGAUGCUAGAAAGAAAGGGAGAUUAUUCAGUGCUUUUGUUUAUGAUUUAUGAAUUAUGGCUGAUAAUCAUGUUUGUUGUUUGGGUAUUCCAAUUUCUAAAUAGUGCAACUGAACUUAAAAGUGGAUACUGGAGACCUUCCAGAAGUGUAGAUAUAUUUGUUCUAUUUGCCAUUAUUCUUUGUUUUGUAUUUGCGAGCUGUGGCACUCUAUCAAAUAUUAGAAAGAUCUUGAUAUUUUAGUUUCUUGAAGAGAUUCAGACUGUUGUUAGGGUAAUUGGUAAUAUAAACUGUCUUUAAUAGACUUUUAGACUGCUAGUCUUUUUGUAUUCUUUUCUUGAUAUCUUUACCCCCCCUCCCCCUCUUUUCCUUUAGGGUAAUUGUAACUUGUUGAUUAUUCUUUCUGUUUUAUGGAAUAAUUAGUGGUCUAGGAUUCUUCAGACUUUUAAUCAUCUUGUUCGGCUUUGAUGUUUUGGAUCAGGCAAAUACCCAUGUAAAUGUGCAUCAAGAAUUAAAGGACGUUCGACUCUGGCAGGUCCAUACUCUGUUAAAAGGGUUGGAAAAGAUUGUUGCCAGUGCUGAUAUCUCAAUGUUGGUGUGCGGAGACUUUAAUUCAACUCCUGCAAGUGCUCCUCAUUCUCUACUUGCGAUUGGUAAAGUUGAGCCGCAACAUCCUGAUUUAGCAGUGGACCCUUUCGGAAUAUUGCGCCCUCAUUUAAAGCUUGCACACCAGCUUCCAUUGUUUUGCAGCCUCUUCAACUGUUGUUGGUUUGGGUACCUCCCAUCUCCACCGCUCCUUAUCCAAAUCUACUAACUUAACUUCAGAACCUGAGGUGCAUCCUGUUCAGAGUCGUUAUUUGGAUCUUCAUGAAUUAUUCAUAGAUGACAUUAUAUGGGUUGAUGAAGCUGUCAGCCUGCAGAAAGCGACUUCUUAUAUUAAAGGGUGUAAAGUUGAUGGUGUAGAUUGUGAAUGGAAGCCUAACUAUGUGAAAGGUAGCAGAGCCAACAAGGUUUCUAUAAUGCAAAUUGCUUCAGAAAAGGUUGCCUUCCCACAUUGUAAGUGCAUCGACUAAAUCAAAUCCAUCUCUUUUUAAAGCUGUGACUGGAGUGUCAAUUGUGGAUCAAAAUCAGGCUGUAAGGCUUCACAUGUUAGCGACACCAAGAUGUUGCGGAAGAAAGACCCUAGAGGUGAGAAGAAAUCUGAAGUUGACGUUGGGCAGCCUGAAUCCACUUGAGCUGCUUACAAGACAGAUUUGCAUUUCCAUUCUGUGAGGAAGAAUUGUAUAUAACAUAUAGUAGAGUUUAGUCAAAUGAUAACUCUUCAACGAAAUGUUGUCUUGCACUGUACAUAAUAUAUGGUAUAUACUGAUAAUACAUUCGCAACAGAUUGUAUAUAUCUCUAACGCUUAACGAAGCCUUAAUAUUCCAA